CCUACGGGAGGCAGCAGUGGGGAAUAUUGGGCAAUGGAGGCAACUCUGACCCAGCAACGCCGCGUGAGUGAUGAAGGUCUUCGGAUUGUAAAACUCUUUAAGUGGGGACGAAGAAAGUGACUGUACCCACAGAAUAAGCCUCGGCUAACUACGUGCCAGCAGCCGCGGUAAUACGUAGGAGGCAAGCGUUAUCCGGAAUGACUGGGCGUAAAGGGUGAGUAGGGGGUUUGACAAGUUAGUAGCGUAAUUCCGGGGCUCAACUUCGGAACUACUACUAAAACUGUUGGGCUUGAGUGCGGGGGGGGUGAGUGGAAUUCUUGGGGUAGCGGGGGAAGGGGUAGAUAUUAGGAGGAACACCGGCGGAGAAGGCGAUUCACUGGACUAUAACUGA
This 391-nucleotide ribosomal RNA is filed under the name uncultured bacterium. RNAcentral describes it as "partial 16S ribosomal RNA". It matches the Rfam family "Bacterial small subunit ribosomal RNA", at positions 338 to 743 of the family's 1533-position model. The record is from RNAcentral.